RNAcentral lists this long non-coding RNA (1161 nucleotides) under Sus scrofa (pig). Its description in RNAcentral is "lncRNA (ENSSSCG00065048449.1)". The record is from RNAcentral. Lineage: Eukaryota; Metazoa; Chordata; Mammalia; Artiodactyla; Suidae.
CCCGGCUCGGAUCCCGCGUUGCUGUGGCUCUGGUGUAGGCCGGUGGCUACAGCUCCGAUUUGACCCCUAGCCUGGGAACCUCCAUAUGCCGCGGGAGCGGCCCAAAGAAAUAGCAAAAAGACAAAAAAAAAAAAAAAAAAAAAAAAAAAAAAAGUGGGGCCAACAUGGUCCCAGCCCUCUGAAUUUUUGACAGUUCCUCUUAAAACCAUUUUAUGAAUAUUUUCAGACAGAUGCGCAGAAGUAGAAUAGUACAGUGAAUCGCCCACCACUUAGGUUCAACAAUUAUCCAGACUUGGCUUCAUCUAGCCUCUACUUUUUUGGGGAUCCUGUCUGAAUUUGGGGAGACAGGAAUUAUUACAUCAGCUGCCCUGGUGUUCUGAGCAUGCCCUGAACUGUGUAUACCCUUGGAGGUUUUUUGUUUUUAUUCAGAGCAGCUUGAUGUAUUAUCAUAUAUCGUGAGCAAGUGUCUUUUCCUGCGUGUAUAUGAAAGGGAUCACAGAUCCUUCUAGGUCUUGCGAUUGCAUUGCUUUUAUUGCUGGCUUCCUCUGGCACCGUGUUGACUGUUUCCCGCUCAGUCCUUCCUCAAGGGAGGAGGUUCCCACAGCCGUGGAAGGGACCAGUUCUCCGGCAGCCCAUUGCUCCAGUCCGUUGGUGGUCACCGGACUAUCUGCUUUCUUUUGUAAGGAUGCAGCGAAUCCCUGCUCCUCCUCCCCAGGUGAGAAAUGACCGUCUCCAUCAAUCGUCGCUUUUCCUGGAUCUCCUCAUAGACAGGCUGCCAGCUGUUUUGUUCAUGACUGCUCAUAGGAGGCCCUUGACAAAGGUAAGUUGCCUGAAUGAACGACUACUGUGUACAGGUGAGUACAGGUAUUAACUUUCUAUUCCUGACGGCAUUUUACAGAGGAGGGGCUGGAAGUAUCCUAAGUGUCAGAGCUGGGAUUUGAACCCAGGGUGGACGUCUUCUACUGGCAAGUGUUUCUCUGAUUUCCCUCUUCGCCUGGAGUAUGCACGUCUAGAAUGGCCCGGAAGUGAGUUCAUCCAUCCUGCACCCCUGGUCAGGUGCUUCCCACCUCCCUGGCCCAGGGCCUCAAGGUCCCCGUGUUCGCGUCUCAGGUGUGCCAGCUCUGCCGCGGUCCCAGGCCCUGGGAACGGGUUGGCUUGCGG